This 361-nucleotide unclassified non-coding RNA is filed under the name Friesodielsia sp. KM-2017. Its description in RNAcentral is "partial contains PsbA (psbA) gene and psbA-trnH intergenic spacer". The record is from RNAcentral. Lineage: Eukaryota; Viridiplantae; Streptophyta; Magnoliopsida; Magnoliales; Annonaceae.
AUAAUACUUCAUCCUUAGUAUUAGUGUAUACGAGUUGUUGAAGGAUCAGAUCAAUGCCAACUAUUUGAUAGAAUCAGUUGGCAUUGAUCUGUUCGAUUCAGUAGUCUUUUAAUCACAUAAGCAUUUCUUUUUUCUAUUUUUUUUCCAAAGGAAAUUUUUUUUUCUGGUGGGUUCAUGAUCGAACCACCUAUUUUUGUUCUGUGUUGAUCUGUAUCUGUAUUAGAAUUUAUGUAUAUUCUUGAAUAUCGUUAUAUUUUCUACAAUUUAGUACAAUUUAGAGGAUUGGCUCUUCAUAUCUCUCAUUUUAUCUCUCAUUUUAUAGAAGGUCCAUUUUUUUAGAGAGAAAGUAGGGGCGGAUGUA